RNAcentral lists this non-coding RNA (28 nucleotides) under Homo sapiens (human). The record is from RNAcentral. Lineage: Eukaryota; Metazoa; Chordata; Mammalia; Primates; Hominidae.
UGGGGCUGUGGCUUAGGAUUCAGGCUGA